RNAcentral lists this unclassified non-coding RNA (792 nucleotides) under Hevea brasiliensis (rubber tree). The record is from RNAcentral. Lineage: Eukaryota; Viridiplantae; Streptophyta; Magnoliopsida; Malpighiales; Euphorbiaceae.
AAAAAAAAAAAUAAAGAAUAACAAUAAAUGAUAAUACCAAGAAAAGCUAAAAAAAUCAAUGAAACAAGGGUCUCUAGCAACCGUGACGAUGAUCAGUAAUCCCAGUCGCAUUUGGUAGUCUCGAUAGGAGUAGUCACUGUACCAUUUGCGCUUAAAGGAACCUUCAAGUCGCACUCAAUCUUGGGCUUGAAUUUGCCAGUCUUGAUCUUACCCACCUUGAAUCUAAUCCUCAAGUAAAGCUUCACGUCGAUGCUAUAAACCCCAGUAGUCGUUUCUUGAUUAAACUGUGUAAGCCCUUCACCAAGAGGCAUCACUUCUUGGCCUUGGAAUGCGGGGGUGAGAAUGCUUGUGUUCUUGUGUCCCUGGUAAAAUGGAGUCAAGCUAUCGUAACCGAAUCUCUGGUCCCCGUAAAAGGCUCUGGCGUCUAUACUAUCAUAAUAGAUUCCAAUCUUCUUGUUAGGGUUGCGGACUGAGAUGUUCAGGGAUAGGUUAUAAUAGAGAGUGUUAUUGGUGGCGAAGUUGAACUCAGAGAGAGUAGCGUCUGUGACGUGAAACUUGACCUUGUUAGGGCGAACUAUGAGCCAGAAAAUAAAAACAGCGAGGCCGACGACCACCACGAUGGUGAUGAUGAUCUUGAGAAGGCAGCUCAAGAGGCAGCAGCCACAUCCGCAGCCAGAGCUACGGCCAGGGCGGUGGUAGGUGUUUGAGGGUGGGAUUGCUGGGCCAUAAUAUGCUCCGUUCAAUUGGGGUUGUUUUUCUGCCAUGGGAGAUAUAGAGAGAGAGAGAGAGAGA